This 402-nucleotide ribosomal RNA is filed under the name uncultured bacterium. Its description in RNAcentral is "bacterial SSU rRNA". It matches the Rfam family "Bacterial small subunit ribosomal RNA", at positions 355 to 774 of the family's 1533-position model. The record is from RNAcentral.
UGGGGAAUCUUGGACAAUGGGCGCAAGCCUGAUCCAGCCAUGCCGCGUGAGUGAAGAAGGCCCUAGGGUUGUAAAGCUCUUUCGGCGGGGACGAUAAUGACGGUACCCGCAGAAGAAGCCCCGGCUAACUCCGUGCCAGCAGCCGCGGUAAUACGGAGGGGGCUAGCGUUGUUCGGAAUUACUGGGCGUAAAGCGCACGUAGGCGGGUCGUUAAGUCGGGGGUGAAAUCCUGGGGCUCAACCUCAGAACUGCCUUCGAUACUGGCGACCUUGAGUACGGGAGAGGUGAGUGGAAGUCCCAGUGUAGAGGUGAAAUUCGUAGAUAUUGGGAAGAACACCAGUGGCGAAGGCGGCUCACUGGCCCGUAACUGACGCUGAGGUGCGAAAGCGUGGGGAGCAAACA